Molecule: non-coding RNA, 765 nt
Filed under: Allobathynella sp. JHS-2017
Lineage: Eukaryota; Metazoa; Arthropoda; Malacostraca; Bathynellacea; Parabathynellidae
Source: RNAcentral
AUUAUUUUAUUCUUAUAAAGAACGUUAAACAAUAGUUAAAAUAGAUGAAAAUAUUAUAAUUUUAGAUAAACCAAUAAUCAAUAUUUAGUAUUAACAAACGAAAGAAAUUUUAAUUUAGUUCACUAUACUUCUUUAACUAAUUAUGUGCCAGCAGUUGCGGUUAUACCUAUAAAGAAAAACGUAUUUUGGUUAAAUAAAAAUAUCUAUAUUAUUAACUAUAUUGAUUAAAGCUAGAAAGUAAAAUAUAUCUUUAAGUAAAUAAUAGUAUGUAUAGUAUCUACAAUUUAAUAUCAGUAUAAUAUAAAAUAGGAUUAGAUACCCUAGUAUAUUUAAAAGAUAAACAUCAACCUAAGUAGUAAUUAAUAGAAUUAUUAAACUUAAAGAAUUUGGCGGUAUUUUAAUCUAUCUAGAGGAACCUGUAGAGUAAACGAUAAACCACGAAGUAUCUUACUUAAUUUAAAAGUUUGUAUACCAUCAUUAAAAAGAUUAUUUUUAAUUAUAAAAAGUAAUCCCAAUUUUUAUUUAAUAAAAUAAAUUAGAUCAAGGUGCAGCUGAUAAUUAAGAUUAAUUUUAUGGGUUACAAUAAAUUAAUUUAACAAACGGAAAAAUAAGAAAGACUUUAUUUUGAAGGAGGAUUUAAUAGUAAUCUUAAUGAAUAUUUUUAUUAUGAAAAUAAGCGCUAAAAUAUGUACACAUCGCCCGUCAUUCUUAUAAAACCUAUAAGACAAGUCGUAACAAAGUAGAUGUUCAAGAAUGAGCCUCUAG